AGGGUUGUGGCUCAGUGGCAGAGCACUUGCCUAGCAUGUAUGAGGCACUGAGUUCUAUCCUCAGCACCACAG
Molecule: transfer RNA, 72 nt
Filed under: Marmota marmota marmota (Alpine marmot)
Lineage: Eukaryota; Metazoa; Chordata; Mammalia; Rodentia; Sciuridae
Also listed under: 2 other names
Rfam family: tRNA
About the family: Transfer RNA (tRNA) molecules are approximately 80 nucleotides in length. Their secondary structure includes four short double-helical elements and three loops (D, anti-codon, and T loops).
Source: Rfam by way of RNAcentral